RNAcentral lists this ribosomal RNA (408 nucleotides) under Hylarana eschatia. RNAcentral describes it as "partial 16S ribosomal RNA". It matches the Rfam family "Bacterial large subunit ribosomal RNA", at positions 1835 to 2459 of the family's 2925-position model. Lineage: Eukaryota; Metazoa; Chordata; Amphibia; Anura; Ranidae. The record is from RNAcentral.
CUUGACAAACAUAAGAGGUCCAGCCUGCCCAGUGACAAUGUUCAACGGCCGCGGUACCCUAACCGUGCAAAGGUAGCAUAAUCACUUGUUCUUUAAAUGAGGACUUGUAUCAAUGGCAUCACGAGGGUUGUACUGUCUCCUUUUUCCAAUCAGUGAAACUGAUCUCCCCGUGAAGAAGCUGGGAUUUUAAUAUAAGACGAGAAGACCCCAUGGAGCUUUAAAUUGCGUACUUACUUUAUGUGAAAACACCAAUAAAACCUAAAAAACUUAAGUACAAUUUUAGGUUGGGGCGACCACGGAGUAUAGUAUAACCUCCACAACAAACAGGCCACACCUUUAUCUACGAGCCACACCUCUAAGAAUUAACAUAUUAAUGUUUAAUGACCCGAAUAUUCGAUCAAUGAACCA